AUUGAACGCUGGCGGCAUGCCUUACACAUGCAAGUCGAACGGCAGCACGGGAGCAAUCCUGGUGGCGAGUGGCGAACGGGUGAGUAAAGUAUCGGAACGUGCCCAGUCGUGGGGGAUAACGUAGCGAAAGUUACGCUAAUACCGCAUACGAUCUAUGGAUGAAAGCGGGGGAUCGCAAGACCUCGCGCGAUUGGAGCGGCCGAUAUCAGAUUAGGUAGUUGGUGGGGUAAAGGCUCACCAAGCCGACGAUCUGUAGCUGGUCUGAGAGGACGACCAGCCACACGGGGACUGAGACACGGCCCAGACUCCUACGGGAGGCAGCAGUGGGGAAUUUUGGACAAUGGGCGCAAGCCUGAUCCAGCCAUGCCGCGUGCAGGAUGAAGGCCUUCGGGUUGUAAACUGCUUUUGUACGGAACGAAAAGACUCUGGUUAAUACCUGGGGUCCAUGACGGUACCGUAAGAAUAAGCACCGGCUAACUACGUGCCAGCAGCCGCGGUAA
Molecule: ribosomal RNA, 500 nt
Filed under: uncultured bacterium
Lineage: Bacteria
Description: partial 16S ribosomal RNA
Rfam family: Bacterial small subunit ribosomal RNA
Source: RNAcentral